UAAUUAGAAUUUUGUUUAUUAUUUUAUUUAAUGUGAUUUAAUUGAAAUAACUUAAUUUUUAGUAAAUUUUAUUGAAAUAAUUAUUUUAACGAUAGUUCAAAGUACUGUGAAGGAAAAUAUUCUAAUUAAGUUAAAGUAAACUUUGUUUGUUGUACCUUUUGUAUCAGGGUUUAUUAAAUAUUUAUUAAUUAUUAUUAAUGUUCCCGAAGUUAGAAGAGAUAUAAUGUUAUGGAAGUUUAUGUGUCAUAAUAAUUUUUAAUAAUAUUAUAGGAGUUAUAUGCCAUUCAAUUCUAAAUAUCUGGUUAUUUAAUAAAUAAAUUUAAUUUAGAUUAAUUUUGUUAUUUUAUAAAUUUAUUUUAUUUAAUAAAGUUAAUUAAUAGUAAAAGGGAUAAGCUUUUUACUAGUUCUAUAAUUUUGGUUUUAUAAGAAUUUUAGUAGGCUUGACAACAGCCAUCUUAAAUUUCGUUAUAGUUUGUAUUUUUAUUGUUUUUAUUUAUUGAAGAUUUAGAUUUUUAUUAAAUUUUAAAUUUUAAUUUUUUGUAUUUAGUAAUAAUGAUAGAAUUAGUAGUUUUGAAUAUUUAAAUAUAGUAAUUCGGCAAUUUUAAUUCUCGCCUGUUUAACAAAAACAUGUCCUAUAGAUAUUUAAUUUUAGGUCUGACCUGCCCAAUGAUUAAUUUUGAAUGGCUGCAGUAUUAUAACUGUACAAAGGUAGCAUAAUCAUUUGUCUUUUAAUUGAAGGCUUGUAUGAAUGGUUGGACGAGGAAUUGACUUUCUUUAUUUAAUUUUUAUUAAUUUAAUUUUUUAGUUAAAAAGCUUAAAUUUUUUUGCAAGACGAGAAGACCCUAUAGAAUUUUAUUUAAUUAUUAAUGUUUUGAUUUUAGGUUCAUGAAUAUUUUAAUUUUAAUAAUUGAAUUUUGUUGGGGUGACAGUGAAAUUUAAAUAACUUUCAUUAAUAUAAAUUCAUUAAUUUAUGUAUAUUUUGAUCCUUUACUAUGGAUUGUAAGAUUAAAUUACCUUAGGGAUAACAGCGUAAUUCUUUCGGAGAGUUCUUAUCGAUGAAUGGAGUUUGCGACCUCGAUGUUGGAUUAAAGUAAGUUUUGGGUGUAGAAGCUCAAUUUCUAAGUCUGUUCGACUUUUAAAUCUUUACAUGAUCUGAGUUCAGACCGGCGUGAGCCAGGUUGGUUUCUAUCUGCAAAGUUAUUUUACAUUUUAGUACGAAAGGACCAAGUGUAAGUAAUAGUUAUUUUUGUUUGAAUUGUAUUAA
This 1264-nucleotide ribosomal RNA is filed under the name Gralliclava horrens. RNAcentral's name for it is "16S ribosomal RNA". The stretch from base 825 to 1195 matches the Rfam family "Bacterial large subunit ribosomal RNA", at positions 2073 to 2647 of the family's 2925-position model. Lineage: Eukaryota; Metazoa; Arthropoda; Insecta; Hemiptera; Coreidae. The record is from RNAcentral.